AAAAAAUUAUCGACUAUUUAUGAAUAUUUUUAUCCCAAUACUUUUACAAAAUAAUCUUAUUUCAGAGGUUUUUGUUCUUAGCUAGUUUUCAUUGCAAUACUAUAUAAUAUAACAUAAAUUAUUUAAAUAACGAUAAAUAAACAUAUUACGGUAUAUAAAUGUGCAUUUUGUUAUAUUUUAAAUGUCAUUAUUACAUUCUCUAGUGCACGUAUAACCGGUAUUAAACACAAUGUUAAAAAUUAUGCUCUUAAGCAUAAUUUUGAUGCAAAACCUUCUACUUCAACAACUAUCAGAAGCUUCAGGAGAUGUUAUACAUAUUAAUGUAACAAAUGUCGCAUCAAAUACAAGAGACGGGAAGACAAAGAAAAGUGUUCAAAAAUACAUAAUAGAUGUACAUGACAAGAAGAAAGUAAAGUCUGUAUUAUAAUAUUGGUGUUUUUCAAUAUAUAUAAUAAAUAAUAAA
Pieris rapae (cabbage white) is the source of this 463-nucleotide long non-coding RNA. RefSeq lists it as uncharacterized. The transcript has 3 exons. Lineage: Eukaryota; Metazoa; Arthropoda; Insecta; Lepidoptera; Pieridae. The record is from RefSeq and is a predicted model, not a curated record.